GGGCAGUUAGCUCAAUUGGCAGAGCAUCCCUUUGACGUGGGGAAGGUUAAAAGUUCGAGUCUUUUACUGCCCA
RNAcentral lists this transfer RNA (73 nucleotides) under Chloroflexota bacterium. Its description in RNAcentral is "Chloroflexi bacterium (sediment metagenome) tRNA-Val". It matches the Rfam family "tRNA". Rfam says of the family: Transfer RNA (tRNA) molecules are approximately 80 nucleotides in length. Lineage: Bacteria; Bacillati; Chloroflexota. The record is from RNAcentral.